Long non-coding RNA from Myotis brandtii (Brandt's bat), 451 nucleotides. RefSeq lists it as uncharacterized. The record is from RefSeq and is a predicted model, not a curated record. NCBI's taxonomy places the organism in Eukaryota, Metazoa, Chordata, Mammalia, Chiroptera, Vespertilionidae. The transcript is spliced from 4 exons.
CUAGUAGUCAAAAAGCAAAGGGUUGGCUGUUGCUUUCUGGUCCGAAGCCUAGAAUGUUAGUAGUCCCUGAACUGCAAGCUGUGGAUGGGUAGUGGCCUCUCUGUGCCUGGAGCUGCAGCUUCCCUAGGAAAAAUUCGUAAUGCAUAUUUCUGGGGAUUUUCCAUAUUGAUGGAAGAAAAUGUUUGGGAUACCUAAGUGAAUCCAUUGAAGAUUAUGUCUGUUUAUCAGUUUUGGUGCAGAGGGGGAAUUGCUGUACUUUGGAGCUGGGAAAGGAUCUUUCAGAUGACGAUGAAGGUAUAGAGAGCCAUGAUAGUUUGUGAGUGGUCUGAUCAGGUGGUGAUUUGGAAGGAUAAUUGGAGGUGGUGAUAAGGUAGGUGAGCAGGGAGACCAUCGAGGAGGCUAGGCUUUUUCAGUGUGUAGGCAAGAGAUGAUGAAGCCCUAAACCAGUGGU